This 256-nucleotide ribosomal RNA is filed under the name uncultured bacterium. RNAcentral describes it as "partial 16S ribosomal RNA". It matches the Rfam family "Bacterial small subunit ribosomal RNA", at positions 99 to 354 of the family's 1533-position model. The record is from RNAcentral.
CGGACGGGUGAGUAACGCGUGGAAAACCUGCCGUAUACUGGGGGAGUAACACUUAGAAAUAGGUGCUAAUACCGCAUAAGCGCACAGCUUCGCAUGAAGCGGUGUGAAAAACUCUGGUGGUAUACGAUGGUUCCGCGUCUGAUUAGCUAGUUGGUGGGGUAAUGGCCUACCAAGGCAACGAUCAGUAGCCGGCCUGAGAGGGUGAACGGCAACAUUGGGACUGAGACACGGCCCAAACUCCUACGGGAGGCAGCAG